UACGUAGGUGGCAAGCGUUGUCCGGAUUUACUGGGCGUAAAGAGCGCGCAGGCGGUCGUUCAAGUCGCGUGUGAAAGCCCCCGGCUCAACUGGGGAGGGUCACGCGAUACUGAUCGACUCGAAGGCAGGAGAGGGUAGUGGAAUUCCCGGUGUAGUGGUGAAAUGCGUAGAUAUCAAGAGGAACACCUGCGGCGAAGGCGGGUUGCUGGGCUGACACUGACGCUGAGGCGCGAAAGCUAGGGGAGCGAACGGG
RNAcentral lists this ribosomal RNA (253 nucleotides) under uncultured bacterium. Its description in RNAcentral is "partial 16S ribosomal RNA". It matches the Rfam family "Bacterial small subunit ribosomal RNA", at positions 524 to 776 of the family's 1533-position model. The record is from RNAcentral.